AAUAGAUACCCCGGUAGUCCACGCCGUAAACGAUGAGUGCUAAGUGUUGGGGGGUUUCCGCCCCUCAGUGCUGCAGCUAACGCAUUAAGCACUCCGCCUGGGGAGUACGGUCGCAAGACUGAAACUCAAAGGAAUUGACGGGGGCCCGCACAAGCGGUGGAGCAUGUGGUUUAAUUCGAAGCAACGCGAAGAACCUUACCAGGUCCUGACAUCCCGGUGACCACUAUGGAGACAUAGUUUCCCCUUCGGGGGCAACGGUGACAGGUGGUGCAUGGUUGUCGUCAGCUCGUGUCGUGAGAUGUUGGGUUAAGUCCCGCAACGAGCGCAACCCUUAUUCUUAGUUGCCAUCAUUCAGUUGGGCACUCUAAGGAGACUGCCGGUGAUAAACCGGAGGAAGGUGGGGAUGACGUCAAGUCAUCAUGCCCCUUAUGACCUGGGCUACACACGUGCUACAAUGGACGGUACAAACGGUUGCCAACCCGCGAGGGGGAGCUAAUCCGAUAAAACCGUUCUCAGUUCGGAUUGUAGGCUGCAACUCGCCUACA
Molecule: ribosomal RNA, 545 nt
Filed under: uncultured bacterium
Lineage: Bacteria
Description: bacterial SSU rRNA
Rfam family: Bacterial small subunit ribosomal RNA
Source: RNAcentral